CUACGGGUGGCUCCAGUGAGGAAUAUUGCACAAUGGGGGGAACCCUGAUGCAGCAACGCCGCGUGGAGGAUGACGCAUUUCGGUGUGUAAACUCCUUUUAUAUGUCAAGAAAAUGACGGUAGCAUAUGAAUAAACACCGGCUAACUCCGUGCCAGCAGCCGCGGUAAUACGGAGGGUGCAAGCGUUACUCGGAUUCACUGGGCGUAAAGGACGCGUAGGCGGGUUGGAAAGUCAGGUGUGAAAUCCUACAGCUUAACUGUAGAACUGCACUUGAAACUUCUAAUAUAGAGUAUGGGAGGGGGAGAUGGAAUUAGUGGUGUAGGGGUAAAAUCCGUAGAUAUCACUAGGAAUACCUAAAGCGAAGGCGAUCUCCUGGAACAUUACUGACGCUAAGGCGUGAAAGCGUGGGGAGCAAACAGGAUUAGAUACCCGCGUAGUC
This 439-nucleotide ribosomal RNA is filed under the name uncultured bacterium. RNAcentral's name for it is "partial 16S ribosomal RNA". It matches the Rfam family "Bacterial small subunit ribosomal RNA", at positions 339 to 795 of the family's 1533-position model. The record is from RNAcentral.